UAGGGAAUCUUCCGCAAUGGGCGAAAGCCUGACGGAGCAACGCCGCGUGAGUGAUGAAGGUCUUCGGAUCGUAAAACUCUGUUAUUAGGGAAGAACAAAUGUGUAAGUAACUAUGCACGUCUUGACGGUACCUAAUCAGAAAGCCACGUCUAACUACGUGCCAGCAGCCGCGGUAAUACGUAGGUGGCAAGCGUUAUCCGGAAUUAUUGGGCGUAAAGCGCGCGUAGGCGGUUUUUUAAGUCUGAUGUGAAAGCCCACGGCUCAACCGUGGAGGGUCAUUGGAAACUGGAAAACUUGAGUGCAGAAGAGGAAAGUGGAAUUCCAUGUGUAGCGGUGAAAUGCGCAGAGAUAUGGAGGAACACCAGUGGCGAAGGCGACUUUCUGGUCUGUAACUGACGCUGAUGUGCGAAAGCGUGGGGAUCAAACAGG
RNAcentral lists this ribosomal RNA (429 nucleotides) under Actinomycetes bacterium. RNAcentral describes it as "Actinobacteria bacterium partial 16S ribosomal RNA". It matches the Rfam family "Bacterial small subunit ribosomal RNA", at positions 355 to 776 of the family's 1533-position model. The record is from RNAcentral. Lineage: Bacteria; Bacillati; Actinomycetota; Actinomycetes.